Molecule: transfer RNA, 69 nt
Filed under: Hymenobacter sp.
Lineage: Bacteria; Pseudomonadati; Bacteroidota; Cytophagia; Cytophagales; Hymenobacteraceae
Description: tRNA-Val
Rfam family: tRNA
About the family: Transfer RNA (tRNA) molecules are approximately 80 nucleotides in length. Their secondary structure includes four short double-helical elements and three loops (D, anti-codon, and T loops).
Source: RNAcentral
UUGACUGUAGUUUAGUGGACAAAACGCCGGGAACGCCGGAAAUCGCGGGUUCGAGUCCCGUCAGUCACU